AUAUAGGAAAGUCAUGAUGGGAACAGUGUGAAACAUUAUUCAAACUGUCAAACAUAUUAAGACAAAACACAUCAACUGGUAAUAGUGAGACAUCGACCGUGGGAAAGCUCUAAGCACUGGCAUCUCAGGCCUCACUGAAGCAACCACGUGGAAAUAUGAGUCGAGGAAAUAAUGAUAAUAAUAAUAAUGUAACUGUGGUAUCAAUAUACCUCAUUAUACCUCAUUGUUAUUAUGUAAAAUAUUAACAUGUAAGGAAUUUAUAUGGUGCUAUAAGGGUAUAUUUGUACGGUGCUAUUAGAAGGCAACAUAGGUGCUGUUAAGAAUGCUUACAUGCAGCCGGUGACGUUUGUUUGUUUGGGUUAUGCGGGCAGCGAGUCUGUCGUUUAUAAGUGGAGUAGAAUUGUGGAUUCGGCGAUGUGGAGCAGUGAUUCAAGCCGUGGCACUGGAGUUUCAUGGCACGACUGGGGCAUGUACGGUGCACAAAAUGGAGGACUCUUUGUCCAAAGCCACAUCAUAGGAAUAAAGGGAAAUUAUAACAACGAAGUUUCCAUGUCCUGCUGGCAGUCCAUGCAUGUCUGUGUGUCUGUGUAAACCAGCCCAAAAGGGUGACUGUUCCAUGUCCGCUUCAGUGAAACUCCAAGGCUCUGCAGCUCUACAAGCUGCAGUGAAACUCCAAGUUUCUGCAGCCCUACAAGCUGCAGUGAAACUCCAUGGCUCUGCAGCUCUACAAGCUGCAGUAAAACUCCAAGAUACUGCAGUUACAAUUAAGCUGCAGUCAUAAGGAUGCACAGCUCUGCAGUGACCUGCAGUAACCACCAACGCUCUGCAGUCAACUCCAAGGAACCUGCAGUGGCCUGCCAUGUCUGUAACUUCACGCUGGUCAUUUCAUUGUUUCGAUCUCCAUGGAUGAGUGAGGCAACACUCCUAGCAAGCACUUAUAACCUGUCUGCAUCCACUCAUCACCUGCAAGUAAGGGGUUUCCAAGUUUUCUAAGUCACCGGCAUUCAAGAAGUAAGAAGUAAACUCAGUGUUACAUAAAGAUUCACUUAGUUGACAUUAAGUAUAAAUCUUCUUACAAUGAGUUCUAAUGAGGAUGCCACAGUUAUUGAGGGUGACCCAGGUAAGGGCCUGGAUGAGCAGGUGGAUGAGGCAGCACGCAGUGUAAGAACGAGAACACAAUCAGAGAGGAGUAAAGAGUAGGCCUACACCAUUCAGGUGUACAAGAGUAGGUGUUCAACAAAUAAGCGUGCUUGGAAGAGGGCAGCAAACAGUAUCUGUGCCAAAGUACAAGGGUCAAGUUGUAUUAAUGAAUUACAGGAUGUAUAAAAGUUAUGAAUACAAAGUUUGAAGAGUUUUACAGUGCUUGUGAGAAAUUAAUUGGAGCUGAUCCUCAAUGUAAUGAACAAAUUACUCAGGAGUUGGAUGACUGUGAGAAGUUUAACUUUAAUGUAAUCCAUGAAGUUGCAGAGAAAAUUAAAGCUCUGCAGCAUGAAAAUGAUUCAGUAACAUCUGAUGAUGACUUCAAUGUUUCAAAGGGUAAACAAGAGCAGGCUGGAGCUAAGGCAGAGCCUGAGGCUGUAUAAGAAUGGAGUGAGUCGGUUGAACCCAAGUCAACUUGACAAUGAAUGGAAGGGAAAGGAGCAGAUGCUUCAACAGUACCUAAACAAUCGGCCUCAAACUCUUGCUGAAGUGAAAGCACAGCCAGUUAAAAGGGAAGAAUUUAGUCAACAAUUUGACUUAAAUGAGGUAAAAGAAGAAUUGCAUAAAUCUGUAGAAAGGAUUGUUGAUAUGUUACCUAACAAGGAAGUUAACCCUCAUACCAAGGUUUUCUCACCAAAAGUUGAUUUGCAGGAACCUGACACACAUGUGACCAACAAUUCUGGUAGUCAGUCAGAUGGCACUAUUACCCAGCCUUCCCCAGGUUCAGUCAGUCAGUUAGAUGCAAUGCAGAGGAUAGCAGAAAUUAUGUCAAUGAGGCAAACCAGAGAAAACCUUCCACGUCCAGAACCAGAAGUGUUCAAGGGAGACAUGUUAGUUUUCACAACAUGGUUAAAAAGUUUUGAAAUUUUCAUUGAGUCCAGAACUACUGAUUUUACUGAAAGGCUCUUUACCUAGGAAGGUAUACCAAUGGUGAAGCCAAGGAAGCAAUCAGUGGAUUGCUUCAGUUAAAUACUGAAGAAGCUUACAUUAAAGCUAAGAAAACCCUGAAGGGUAAAUUUGGAAAUCUGUUUCUUGUGUCUAAUGCCUACAGAAAAAAGUUAUAUGAGUGUCCAAAAAUUCAGCAGAAUGAUGGCCCAGCACUAAGGAAAUUUGCAGAUUUCCUGGACAGCUGCAGGACAGCAGUGGAAAGCGUACCUCACCUAGUGGUCUUAGAUGACUCACAGGAGAAUGUCAAAUUAUUGAAGAAGUUACCUGUUUCACUAGUUGAAAAAUGGAACACAAUAGUGUACAAGUAUGCUUCUAGAGGUGAUGAUGAUAGUGAUGAUGAAGGUCUAACAGACAUAAGUUCUGAACAAUAUCCUCCCUUUAAAAGGUUCUUAAGUUCAUACGUAGAGAGGCCACAAAGGCGUGCAACCCAAUAUCAUCGUGCAGUGCAGUCAUAGAUAAGAAUCAAAGGAGCAGUGCAGUUGUAGCCAAAGGAAGAAAUAGUAGUUCAAGUACUGAUAAAUCAGGAAACAGACGUUUCAAGACAGAGGCAUCAGAGGUAAAGCUGGCACACACAACAAUGGACAACAAGGCUAAAUAUGAUAAAAGGCAUGAGGUAAGAAAAACAGGGCCAAGGAGACUGAGCUGCCUUUAUUGCAAUGAAGAGCAUGAUGUAGAUGUGUGUAAAAAGUUUAACUUGCUUGAUAUCAAUGCAAAGUUGGACUUUGUGCAGAAGCAGUACUUGUGUAGAGGAUGCUUGAAGCAUGGUCACAGAAAGAUAGAUUGUCGUCAUAAGAAAUGUUGUAGUAUAUGUCAACGAUACCACCCAACAUCUCUUCACAAUAAUGCCUUUGCACAAACUAGUGCUCAAAAUGUCAAGGCAGGAGAGUCAGACAGAGCAACUUAGCCAAAAGCAAAUGAAAGCUCAGCAGUUUCAAACAAGAUUAACACCAGUCAGUCUAUGACAGGAGAUAUGCACACCAUGAUUGUGCCAGGGUGGCUACACCACAGUAGCAGUGAACACAAUAAAAGGUUGGUGUAUGCAUUAUUGGAUUGUCAGUCUGAUGCCUGUUUCAUUAAAGAAAGCACCUUGGAAAGAAUGGGAGUUAAUGGCUCACCAGUACACUUUAAGCUCUUCACAAUAAUGGGAGAACAGGUAGUCCCCUGCACAAAAAUCAGUGGACUUGUUGUAUGAGGAUUCAGCGAGCACAUGAAAAUAGAUCUUCCACCUGCAUAUUCCAAGGAAGAUAUUCCUGCUAAAGAAGCUCAGAUACUGUGCCCUGAAACAGCCCAAACCUGGCCACACUUAACAAGUAUCUCUAACAAACUGAUGCCUUAUGAUGCAAAUGUAGAUGUGGCACUUCUUAUUGGAGCUAACUGUAUCAGAGCCAUUAAGCCCAAAGAGAUUUUUGUAGGAGAUGAAGAUGAUCCUUAUAGACUAAAAAUACACUUAGGAUGGGGCGUUGUUGGCCAAGCAAUUAAAGAAACUAAGAAAGUUUCAGAUGAUGUAGCGAGAGCAUAUAGAACUAUAGCCCAAGAAGUUGUCAUCAGUGAAGAAAGAAAAGUUAGUUUCCUUGUUGUUCCUAUUCAGAUAAAGGAGUUAAUAAACCCAGCACAAGUCAGGAACAUGUUUGAGGUUGAUUUUAAUGAUAAAGGAACUGACAACACUCCCUUUUCCUAUGAUGACAAAAGAUUCCUGAAAAGGAUGAGAGAGGGAGUGAAUCAGCAGAGAGAAGGGCACUAUGAGUUGCCUCUUCCACUGAAGAAUAAUAACAUCAAGCUUCCAAACAACAAGGACAUGGCCUUGCAUAGGCUCAUGAAGUUACAGGCAAUACUUAUGAGAGAUAAAAAGUACCACCAAGAUUACAAGGAAUUCAUGAAAGAAUUAAUUGACAAAGGCUAUGCAGAAACUGUGCCAGCCAGGGAUUUGCAACGAACAGAUGGUCAGGUGUGGUAUAUACCUCACCAUGGUGUUUACCACCCAAAGAAACCAGGGAAGAUAAGAGUGGUAUAUGAUUGUAGUGCUAACUACAAAGGUCAUUCUUUAAAUGGUCACCUGUUGCAGGGCCCAGACCUAACAAACAAUCUGGUUCUGGUUCUAUGUAGAUUCUGCCAAGAAGUGACAGCCUUUGUUUGUGACAUAGAAGCAAUGUAUCACCAAGUGAAGGUGAAACCUGAAUAAAGAGAUAUGCUGUGCUUUCUGUGGUGGAAUAAUGGAGAUCCAGGUGAGAAUAUGCUUGAAUACAGGAUGACGGCCCAUUUGUUUGGAGCUACAUCAUCUCCGAGCGUUGCUGAUUUUGCACUUAAGCAAGCUGCAAAUGACUAUGAGGCUCAGUAUGGAUAUGAUGCAGCAAACUUCAUCAGGAAGGAUUUUUAUGUUGAUGAUGGACUUAAAUCAGUACCAACAGUAAAGGAUGCCAUUGAUCUGCUUAUGAAAAGCAAGGCAUUGUGUAAAAUGGGAGGAUUUAAUCUCCAUAAGUUUCUGUCAAACAGUAAGGAAGUGUUAGCAGCAAUAGCUCCUGAAGAAAUGAAUAACACUGCAAGAGCCUGGAUUUAAGUAAAGACAUGCUACCUGUAGAAAGAACACUUGGAGGGGAGUGGUGUGUAGAAUCUGAUACUUUCCAGUUCAGAAUACAAGUCAAAGAUAAGCCACUCACAAAAAGGGGCACAUUGUCUACUGUGAGUUCAAUAUAUGAUCCAUUAGGCCUUGUGUCUCCUCACAUCCUCAUUGGCAAAGGAAUGCUCCAGGAGUUGUGCUGUGAAGGAUGAGGAGAUACCAAAGUAUGUGAGGCUGCAGUGGCAGCAAUGGAGAGAUGACCCACAUAAAUUAGGGCACUUAAAGAUACCACGAUGCUACAAGCCUGAAGGAUUUGGCGAAAUUAAAAAAGUUGAACUGCAUCGCUUUUCUGAUGCCAGUCAAAAGGGGUAUGGUCAGUGCUCUUACAUAAGACUGAUCAACACUGCUGAUCAAAUACACUGUGCACUUUUAAUGGUAAAAUCAAAAGUGACACCCCUCCGAGCCAUCACUGUGCCGAGGUUGGAACUCACAGCAGCAGUAGUGUCUGUGAGAAUCAGUGCAAUCUUAAAGAAGGAGUUAACCUAUGAAGAUACUCAGGAAGUGUUUUGGACAGACAGUAAGGUGGUGCUGGGAUACAUCAACAAUGAUUCUAAACGAUUUCAUGUAUGUGUAGCCAACAGAGUCCAGCAGAUAAGAGAUCAAACUUCACCUAGUCAGUGGAAGUAUGUGGAAACAGAGCACAACCCAGCAGACUAUGCCUCAAGAGGGCAGUCUGUAGAAGAGUUAAUUAACAAUGACAAGUGGUGGAAUGAGCCACACUUCUUGUGGCAACCCUUUGAGAUGAAUGAUGACCUAUCAGAGCAUCAUGAAUUGGAAGCUGAUGAUCCUGAAGUAAAAAGAGUUGCAUCAUGUGCUACACAGACACAUGAGCCAUUUAAUGUACUUGAGAGGCUGAACUGUUUCUCUGAUUGGUUCCGUAUGAAGAGAGCCAUUACAGUGUGCCUCAGGCUUCAAAGGAUGUACAAGAAGGAUGCAGAUGGGACACAUAAAGGAAGAAGCCAAGAAUACAUUCCACUGACAGUACAAGAACUGAAAGAAGCUGAAAAUGAGAUCAUAAGGCAGGCUCAGGCUCAUGCCUUCCAUGAUGAAAUAAAGAUGCUGAAGGGUGUAGGAACCCAUGAGUCUUCCCCACAGACAAAUAGAAGAGGAAAAACAGUAAAGAAAAUAAGCAAGUUGUACUAACUUGAUCCCAUCAUAGAUGAAGAUGGAAUAGUAAGAGUUGGGUGAAGAAUAUGGAGGUCUACUCAUCAAGUAGCAAGACAUCCAGCAAUCCUGCCUAAGGGAUCCCAUGUUACUGAUCUACUGAUUUGCUACUACCACAAAAAAAAAAUACAUCAUCAGGGUAGGGGCAUAACACUAAAUGAAAUUAGAGCAUCUGGGUACAGGUAACUCGAGAUUUACGCGAGUAUUGCAUCCUUGAAGAGGUCGCGUUAAUCAAAAACAAUGUAAAUCAAACAAGAGGUAGGUUUCUAUCGAAAAAUAAAUAUUCAUUCAGUGGAGAGAGAGAGAGAGAGAGAGAGAGAGAGAGAGAGAGAGAGAAUAUCCAUAUCACUGAGAUAUCCACUCAGGCACUUAAUCUCAGCCUCACUCAUGUGAGGAAGAAAUGAGGGACACCAUGAGCGACUGGCUAGUAUUGGUACUGGUACCGAGCAGUCUGGUACCGGUACCAUACCGUAUAGCUGGUACCAUUAGUACCGGUACUGGUACCAGUACCUGCGCACCCCUAUUGUUGAGUAGCGUGGCAGCAUGGGUACUGUAUUGUUGUUCAAGUGGCGCACGGAAAGAACUGAGCUCAGCUGUGUGGGCGCGGCGCCGUGUGAGUCCAGUUGCGUGAGGCAUCUAGUGGCCACUCCAUAAAAUAUCGUGUAUAAGUGAAAAAAAAGUGUAAAUUAAACAUUUAUUUGGAUUUUGGACCCGGCGUUAUUUCAAAAACGCGUAAAUCAAACUCACUUAAAUUGAGAGUUACCUGUACUGGAUUUUGGGGGGCUCAUCUCUGGUGGCUAGACAUGUCUCAAAAUGUGUAGCGUGCAGAAAAGUUGGAAUUGACACACAAGGUCAGAAGAUGGCAGACUUGCCACAAGAUAGGCUAGAGCCUUCCCCUCCCUUUACUUAUGCUGCAGUUGAUUUUUUUAGUCCUUUCUACAUCAUAGAGGAACAUGAAGAGCUAAAGAGAUAUGGGGUUCUUUUCACAUGCAUGGUAUCACGUGCAGUCCACCUAGAGACCAUCUAGAGACAGCAAACAGUCUGGACACUACUUCCUUUCUCAGUGCUUACUGCCACUUUAUAGGAAGAAGAGGCCCAGUAAGGCAGUUAAGAUCAGAUCAAGGAACAAACUUUGUAGGUGCAAAUAAUGAGUUAGCCAACUCUUUGAGAGAAAUAGAUGAGGAGAAGCUAAGAACUGAAUUACUAAAGGACAGUUGUGAUUGGGUUCAUUUCAAGAUGAAUGUACCACAUGCAGGCCAUAAGGGUGGGGUGUGGGAGAGACAAAUAAGAACAGUGAGAAGCAUAUUGUCAGUGCUACUUGAUCAACAUGGACCUCAGUUAGAUGAUGAAAUGCUUAGAGCAUUAAUGAUAGAAGCAGAGACAGUUGUAAAUGGUAGACCUCUAACUGUGGAUAACCUUACCUCUCCUACUAGCUUAGAACCACUGACACCCAACACUCUGUUAACUAUGAAAUCAAAGAUUGUGAUGCCUCCUCCGGGUAAAUAUGAAAGAGUUGACUUGUACUCAAGGAAACGUUGGCGUAGGGUACAGUUCCUUGUAAAUGAGUUCUGGUCAAGGUGCAAAAGGGAAGUUUUGCAGUCUCUUCAGCUUAGAAAUAAAUGGCAGAAACCCUGAAGAAACCUCAAGGUGAAUGAUGUUAUUGUUAAGGAUUGCAACCUAGCUAGAAAUCAAUGGAAGCUGGGCAGAAUAACUGAGUGUUUUCCAAGUGAUGAUGGUCUUGUGAGAAAGGUGAAAGUGAUGAUGUCAGACUCAUGUCAUGACAAUUCAGGGAAACGAACGAAGCCAAUGAACAUUGUUUAACUUGUUCAUAGUCUUGUUCUCUUGUUAGAAUGUACUACUCAGGAAGACCAGGGCACCCCCACCGAGGAGCCUAAUUGAUUUGUUUGUACUCAGGAGAUGCACAGAUAAUGUCAACAGUAUUUCAUGUAUCUGUAAUACUCAUGUUAUAAUUAAUGUUAUAAGGUAAAUUUUCCUACAAUUUAGGGGAGCCAUGUAACUGUGGUAUCAAUAUACCUCAUUGUACCUCAUUGUUAUUAUGUAAAAUAUUAAUAUGUAAGGAAUUUAUAUGGUGCUAUAAGGGUAAACUUGUAUGGUGCUAUUAGAAGGCAACAUAGGUGCCGUUAAGAAUGCUUACAUGCAUCUGCCGACAUUCGUUUGUUUGGGUUAUGCGGGCAGCGAGUCUGUUGUUUAUGAGUGGAGUAGAAUUGUGGAUUAAGCGAUGUGGAGCAGUGAUUCAAUCCGUGGCACUGGAGGUGAAUGGCUGACGGACGAGCACAUGAAUUAUGCCCAAGCCCUUCUGAAGAACAACUUCCCUAAGACUGAUGGUCUACAGCACACCAUGGAGCCUUUCAAGUUGCCAUCAAUAACUCAUUUCAAAGGAGUCUAAUGAGGGAAUUUGUGCAGAUAUUGCUCAUAAUAAACAACCAUUGAAUUUGUGCAAUAUCCCUUAGGUGUGGCCCAGGAGAGGUUAAAAUAUAUGAUAGUUUAACACCAUCUGUGCAAAGGGGAGGAUGCAGAAAUAUCGUAGUGGUGUAUGUCCCUCCAAAAAACAAUUCAUGGACAGAAGAAUUGUACAAGAAGAAGCUGGAAGAUACAUUGGAUUGCCUAAGGAGAUUGCUGGAGGAGAAGGAUAAGAUUCUGAUAAUGGGAGAAUUUAAUUGUAAGGAAGUGUCAUGGGAAAACUGGUCAACGGAAGGAAGUGAAGCUUCAUGGGGAACAAGAAUAAUCACCAGGGAGCCAGAUAUCAUAGAGGAGAUGAACUGUAAGAAUCCUGUAGGGAAGAGCGAUCAUGUACUUAUUGAGUACAUAUUACGAGAAGGAGGUAAAAUAAUCAGGAAUGAGGACUACAGGAAAGAAUGGUUUAACUUUAAUAAGGCAAAUUUUGAACAACUUGGAAAACAUUUUGAGGAAGCACAAUGGGAUACUUUUUUCGAGGCUGAUAAUGCGGAGGAAAAAUGGGCUGAAAAGUUGAGCAACUUGAUUAAUGUCUCACUAGCACAAGGGAAGGUACCAAGAGACUGGAAGAGGGCUAACAUCGUCCCAAUAUAUAAAGGAGGAAGUAAGGAAGACCCGUUGAACUAUAGGCCAGUGUCAUUAACAAAUGUAGUAGCAAAGAUGUGUGAGAAAAUUAUAAAAAAAACAGAUGGGUGGGGUAUUUAGAAGAAAACAGUAUAUUAACAAGUAGCCAAUUCGGAUUCAGAGGAGGAUGGUCUUGUGUAACUAAUUUGAUCAGCUUCUAUUCAAGAGUAAUUGAUAUAAUACAGGAAAGGGACGGUUGGGCAGAUUGUGUGUAUCUGGACUUAAAGAAGGCAUUUGAUAAAGUACCACACAAGCGAUUAAUAUGGAAACUUAAUCAUGUUGGAGGUCUGGGUAGUUCAAUAUUGGAUUGGAUUAUGGACUUUAAUAAUAAAUCAAGCUGGAUGGAAGUGACUAGUGGAGUCCCCCAAGGAUCGGUGUUGGCUCUGAUUAUGUUUGUAAUAUAUAUUAAUGACAUGACAGAAGGGGUGACAAGCUAUAUGAAUAUGUUUGCUGAUGAUGCUAAAAUAAUGAGGAUGGUGGCUAAUGAAGAAGACUGUGUAGCCCUGAGCCAAGAUCUCGAUAGAAUAAGCGAAUGGUCACGCAAAUGGGAAAUGACAUUCAAUACAGAAAAGUGUAGCGUGUUGGAGUUUGGUAAGAGUAGUUGAUGAAUAUCGGGGAACUAUUCUCCGAGUAAUGAAAGAAUCAUGAAAAAAACUGAAGAAAAAGAUCUGGGAGUGAUCAUAACAGACAAGUUAUCCUUUGGAAAACAUAUAGACCGGAUAACUGGGGAAACAUACAAUCUUCUUAGAAACAUAAAAGCAGGAUUUACAUAUUUAGAUAAAGAAAUUGCGAAGAAACUAAUAACAUCGAUGAUACGUCCCAGACUGGAAUAUGCAGCAUUAGUGUGGUCACCUAGAUUGAAGAAAAAAAUUAGAAAGUUGAAAAGAAUACAAAGAGCAGCGACUAAAUUACCAGAAACUCUGAGAGAACAUACUUAUGAAGAAAGACUGGAGAAAUGGGGACUAACAACACCGGAGAGAAGAAGAGAGAGAGGGGACCUAAUAGCAUUGUACAGGAUACAAGAGGGAUUGGAUAAAUUGAACAGGGAAGACCUAGUGGAACAUGACAGAAGUGUGACAAGAGGCAAUGGUAAGAAACUGAAGAAGAGCGACUGUAGGAGAGACAUCAAGAAAUACAGUUUUCCAUACAGAAGCAUAACAACUUGGAAUGGACUUGACGAGGAGACUGUGUGUGCAAAAACGAUUCAUGAAUUUAAAGCCAAACUGGAUAAUAAGCAUUAUGGAGACGGGACAGCACGAGCCUAGUAUGGCUCUUUUUCCUGUGUUUCACAGCUACAGUACCCUCUCGAGUUUCGUGCUAUCCAAGUUUCACGGUUUGUCCUAAAUUCUUACCAUCCCGACUUUCGCGCAUUAUCACCCCGAGUUUCGCGCUGCUUUUACACGUACGGGUCACGUCUGCUUAUCAUCGGCGUCACGCACACUACCUUUAAAGGUAUCACACUGGACGUUUUCCUUCAAACAUUGUGGCUUUGGAGAGAGAGAGAGAGAGAGAGAGAGAGAGAACGGGUCGUUUUGAAGCCGCAGUUGGAGGUGGCUGCCUUACAAUUGGCUGACGGUUUUGAAAACAUGUUUGUGAUUUGCUGGGAGUCUGAUGACGUCAUUGCUGACACUCAUCCUAUUAGCGGCUUCACUGCCUUAAGGGGGUGUCACAAUGACCGUUUUUGUCCAACCGUUAGGGCUACGGGCAACGCCCGUACGCCCAACCGGGAGCGAGUUUACGGUUGUCUGUAAGCUGAUGUCACACAGGACUUUUUUUCUUUCCACUGCGUUGGCGCCAGCUAGGGCAACCGGCAACUCCAACUUUUCCUGGUGUGCGUCACACAUGGCCAAGGUCGGUUGCCCGU
Eriocheir sinensis (Chinese mitten crab) is the source of this 10889-nucleotide RNA transcript. RefSeq lists it as uncharacterized. The transcript is spliced from 3 exons. The record is from RefSeq and is a predicted model, not a curated record. Lineage: Eukaryota; Metazoa; Arthropoda; Malacostraca; Decapoda; Varunidae.